GACGAACGCUGGCGGCGUGCUUAACACAUGCAAGUCGAGCGAGAACCGUAGCAAUACGGGGACAGCGGCGAAAGGGACAGUAAUGUGUAGGUACCUACCUCCGGGUUCGGGAUAGCUGCGGGAAACUGCAGGUAAUACCGAAUAACGUCUCCGGACCAAAGGUGUGAUUCCACCUGGAGAGGGGCCUGCAUCCUAUUAGCUUGUUGGCGGGGUAACGGCCCACCAAGGCGACGAUGGGUAGCGGGUGUGAGAGCACGACCCGCGUCAUUGGGACUGAGACACUGCACAGACACCUACGGGUGGCUGCAGUCGUGAAUCUUCGGCAAUGGGCGCAAGCCUGACCGAGCGACGCCGCGUGCGGGAUGAAGGCCUUCGGGUUGUAAACCGCUGUCGUAGAGGAGGAAAUGCAGGGGGGUUCUCCCCUCUGUUUGACCUAUUCUAGGAGGAAGUACGGGCUAAGUUCGUGCCAGCAGCCGCGGUAA
This 482-nucleotide ribosomal RNA is filed under the name uncultured bacterium. Its description in RNAcentral is "partial 16S ribosomal RNA". It matches the Rfam family "Bacterial small subunit ribosomal RNA", at positions 28 to 523 of the family's 1533-position model. The record is from RNAcentral.